UGGACCCGGCGCCUUGCCCCCGGAUCUGCAUCGGAAUGCAGAAAAGAUCUUUUUUUAAAAAAAAAAAAAAAAAAAGUUUUGAAUUCCUCAAUGAUUUUUCUUCUGGAAAGGCAGCUUAGGAUAAUUAUUUCAGCUUUAUUGAGGGCAGAUUAGUUGAAGUCUGGGCGCUGCGUUUCAAUACGCGUUGUACACGGGCCGACAAUGUGG
Chlorocebus sabaeus (green monkey) is the source of this 207-nucleotide unclassified non-coding RNA. NCBI's taxonomy places the organism in Eukaryota, Metazoa, Chordata, Mammalia, Primates, Cercopithecidae. The record is from Ensembl.